CCUACGGGUGGCAGCAGUGAGGAAUAUUGGUCAAUGGACGAGAGUCUGAACCAGCCAAGUAGCGUGAAGGAUGACUGCCCUAUGGGUUGUAAACUUCUUUUAUAUGGGAAUAAAAUGUUCCACGUGUGGGAUUUUGUAUGUACCAUAUGAAUAAGGAUCGGCUAACUCCGUGCCAGCAGCCGCGGUAAUACGGAGGAUCCGAGCGUUAUCCGGAUUUAUUGGGUUUAAAGGGAGCGUAGGUGGAUUGUUAAGUCAGUUGUGAAAGUUUGCGGCGCAACCGUAAAAUUGCAGUUGAAACUGGGAGUCUUGAGUACAGUAGAGGUAGGCGGAAUGCGUGGUGUAGCGGUGAAAUGCUUAGAUAGCACGAAGAACUCCGAUUGCGAAGGCAGGUCACUGGACUGCAACUGACACUGAGGCUCGAAAGUGUGGGUAUCAAACAGGAUUAGAUACCCCAGUAGUC
RNAcentral lists this ribosomal RNA (460 nucleotides) under uncultured bacterium. RNAcentral describes it as "partial 16S ribosomal RNA". It matches the Rfam family "Bacterial small subunit ribosomal RNA", at positions 338 to 795 of the family's 1533-position model. The record is from RNAcentral.